Molecule: ribosomal RNA, 425 nt
Filed under: uncultured bacterium
Lineage: Bacteria
Description: partial 16S ribosomal RNA
Rfam family: Bacterial small subunit ribosomal RNA
Source: RNAcentral
GUGGGGAAUCUUGCGCAAUGGGCGAAAGCCUGACGCAGCCAUGCCGCGUGAAUGAUGAAGGUCUUAGGAUUGUAAAAUUCUUUCACCGGGGACGAUAAUGACGGUACCCGGAGAAGAAGCUCCGGCUAACUUCGUGCCAGCAGCCGCGGUAAUACGAAGGGGGCUAGCGUUGCUCGGAAUUACUGGGCGUAAAGGGCGCGUAGGCGGACAGCUUAGUCAGAGGUGAAAGCCCAGGGCUCAACCUUGGAAUUGCCUUUGAUACUGGCUGUCUGGAGUUUGGGAGAGGUGAGUGGAACUCAGAGUGUAGAGGUGAAAUUCGUAGAUAUUCGGAAGAACACCAGUGGCGAAGGCGACUCACUGGCCCAAUACUGACGCUGAGGCGCGAAAGCGUGGGGAGCAAACAGGAUUAGAAACCCUAGUAGUCC